Long non-coding RNA from Brassica napus (rape), 2395 nucleotides. RefSeq lists it as uncharacterized. The record is from RefSeq and is a predicted model, not a curated record. The transcript has 7 exons. Lineage: Eukaryota; Viridiplantae; Streptophyta; Magnoliopsida; Brassicales; Brassicaceae.
GGCACAUAUAUCUAUAUAUAUAAAGGGGAGUUUUCUCUCACCUCCUGCUGCCACUUCAGCAUGGAAGGAAGGGCAAAUGAGGACACGUGUUAUCACUUUACUUCUUCUUCGAGCAAGUUAAAAGAAAUGUGGACAAAUUUGUUUAGUUAAGAUGCUGAGGCCUAAUUCCAAAAUUUGAUAAUCAAGCCCAAUUGUUCACAUCCAUCUUCUUCGAAAGUCUUCGUCUGUCUGUUCAUAUCCCUAUGUCCAGCCGGCAACAACCUUACCGAAUUAUAACGUUUUUUGUGUCAUUGAAACCUGCUCACGAAGUCUGGCCAUUACCUCUCUCCUUGAAGCGUUCUCCCGAAAUCCCUAAUUUUGACUGCUAUAAAUAGGGAUGCAGGUAGAUCGAACUUUCCCUGCUUCACGCAGCGAUCAAUGGCUUUCAGAACUACAAAAUCCUCCGGCCAAUGAAUUAACCAGGGUUUGCUGCUUCUAAUCGCGUAGACAGUUGGUGCAGAAAUCGAAGUUUUUGUAUACUUUGAAACAAGGAGUUAAAUCAGAUCUGGGGAUGAACCAUUAUCUGCAACUUUAUAAAAAGAUUUUGAAUUGUUUCUGGGUCUAUCUGUAUCAGGAAGUAUAUAGAAUCCGAUGGAGUUGUUGAUUCUCUCACCAGAGGUAUAGUUUCUGUUUUUUUUUUAAUAUAGUCCACCCUUACCUAUUGCAGAUAGUUUUAUUUUUGCUAUCGAAUAGUAGUUAUGGUUUCUUUGAAUGGGACGAAUGCCUUCAUCUUCUUUAGAGUAAGUUACUGGACAUGUACUUGGUUUCUAACUUUUAUAUAUUAGUUUCUAAGAGCCUACCAUAAUCUUUAAUCCAGGUUUCCCCGUUUUUGUGAUCAAGGUGCCAAAAUUUAUGAACUAAAUAAAUCCUAAUAUAAAAUUAGGUUUAAGAGUAAAUCAUGUCCUCUACAAAAUUGAUGGAAAUUUGGGUUUAGAUUUUGAAUCAGCUUUCCUUCUUAAAAUUGGCUCUUAGUUUAUGUUUGUUUUUCAUGAUCACGAAUGCAGAUUUAAAAUGUUGCCUCUGUAAAAUUUUGGACUCAUACUCUAUGAUGCUUUGGUUUUUGCCAAUCCCAGCUCUUGAGUGGUUUUUCUAUGAUCCUUCUUUGGGUUUGCUUCAGACUAAUUCAGCAUAAGCUAGGAGGUGCUUCAGUCUCUGACUACGAGAAGCUUCAAGCUUAGACGUUUGAUCUUCAAAUAAAAUACAAUGAGCUUUUAGCUAAUCAUCAGGAAACCCUCAAAGAGUUUUUUCAUCAUCAAUCAGCAGAGGAUCGCUAGAGGCGAGGAGCUAAGUCCUCUCUCCCGAGUUUUUAUCGCCUUCCACCGCUUCUCCCCGCAUCAUAGACCAUUAUCGUCGGCCGUUCAAUGCCACGGCGGUGAAGAAGGUUAAUAGUUGGGAAGACGGAUAUGGAUGAGUUUGGUAUGGGAAGCCCAACUGAAGCUUUCGUCCUUUCAGGCAACUGCAAAUUCUAGGGACUUGACACGUGUAGCGGGAAGUUUCAUCAGGAGGAUCAGCAGCAGCUGUUGCAGAAAUAUAAUGUAUAGUGUCUCAUGGUAGUGAUACUGGUGGGAGUGUGAGACAGCUAGCUUCGCUUUGUGGUGUUGUGGUCUUAAGCCAACUUACGGUCGUGUCUCUAAGUUUGGACUAAUGGCCUAUGCAUCUUCAUUGGUUGCUUUGGCUCUACGUUUGCUGAUGUUGGGAUGCUUCUUCAUGCUCUCUCCGGGUAUGAGAGGUUUGAAUCCACGAGUAGCAAACAGUUUGAAGGGAGUGAAAGUUGGUCCAUCCGCGAGACGCUUGAAGAUGGUGUUAAUUUUGGAGUGAGAUUUGCCAACUUAGAAGCAUUGGGAUGUGUACUGACAGAGGUCUUCUUUCCGUCAUUCUCUUGUGGACUACCAGCCUAAUAUGUGGUGCAUGAUGAGUAUAUCAAUGUGGACACAGUUUUGGUGUAGAGGCAGAAGUGAGGAUGGUGCAGCUGAAAAGAGUUCUUAGUGAGCAUCUUCGCUAAAUAAUCUGAUGAUCUGAUCUCAUUUUGCUGGCUUUUGACUGAUGUCAUAAUUUUCCCGUUCUUUUCUUCUUCCAACACUCUUAUUAUUAUGCGAACGAUCCCAACCCAAGGAUGUUGCAGCCUCUAUGUCUUCCCUCGAGAACCUUAUUACGGUAAUCAUUACUUUAUGUUAGGAACAAAGUUUCUAAAGAACAUGAACACACGGUGAUUUGGUUACUGUUAUUAUCCAAGCGUAGCUUACUGAGAAUAACAAAUUUCAUGUAAGGCUCCAAAGUCAAAAUAGUCCAUGUCAUCUGAAACAAAAAGAAAGAUGGAAGAUGUUACUUCUAAUGCGUUAGUUCUUUUGUUUUCUAA